CCCACCCGAGGAGCCCACCUGAACCUGCCGGGGCCUCAGAAAGCCGACGGCACACGCAGAGUGUCUGUGAUGUGCAAUGAAGAGGCUGAUGUUCCUUAAAGUUACCAAGAUAAAUGCCAGCGAUACGGCUCUAUUUCAUAAUCAGCAGCAGAACAGAACUGGCAAGCCUAGACUGAUCUCUGUGGCAGGCACUGACAAAAAUCUCACUAAUUCCAGUUUCCAUUAUGCAGCCUGAUCCAGUCCUAAUAACAUCACUGCAAAAACUCCUGUGCAUUUGA
This is a long non-coding RNA of Oxyura jamaicensis (ruddy duck), 278 nucleotides long. RefSeq lists it as uncharacterized. Lineage: Eukaryota; Metazoa; Chordata; Aves; Anseriformes; Anatidae. The transcript is spliced from 4 exons. The record is from RefSeq and is a predicted model, not a curated record.